CCAUGAAAAAGAUUGGAAUCAGGUUGAAUUUAUUACUAUGGGCGUCCUGGCCCAAGAUUCUGCAACUCAGUAUGCUAACAUGGGUAUCUCUUAUGAGUUAAAUGUUGCCUAGGCUGGCAAAUUCAAAUGCUGGUCUACUUCCCAGGACAUGGAAAGCCAGGCUCCAUAGUCUUAAUGAGGAAGGAAGAAUGAAACAGCACUUAGGAGACACGAACUCCUGGAGGCACCUCCCUGCCUCCCACUCACCUCCCACUGUCCCCUUGAGAAGGCCCCAGUUCCUUUGCUAUUAGCCUCACUUCGAGAAUGAGGUUGGUGUGGGGAGCAUACAUUUUUGAAAAAAAUCUUGUUUCAGGCUUCUCUUUCUUAACUGAGGAUGAAAGUGGGAGAUGCUGCAGCUGAGAUUCUUUCAGUCCGGCUGAGGGAUGCUGAGGUCAGCCCGUCCAGCCAAUCGGGAGGCAGCAGUCACCAGGGCCAAGAAGAGUGCAGUCAUCGUGGAUGUGGCCUUCAGAUCCUGGACCCUGGGAAUAACUAGAACCGAAAUGGGCAGGCAGCCAAACGAGGUCUGGGGAUCAUGCAAGGACCAGACAAAGACUGCUGAUGACCUCAAGGUUACUGAGGAACACAGGCAAGGUGACUGGUGACUGCGUUGGAGCCUCUGUCACUAGACAGGGAAGUUGUGAUAAGUUCUUCUCAUAUUAGAAGCUCUACUCUCUUUGUACUUGAACUCCUGAUCCUUUGACUUUUGCAUAAAAAGGUCUUUUUGUGUUGUGGUGGAGCAUAUGAUCUUGGAUGUUGCCGGUGGCUAAAGGGUCACUAUGAUGGCUACUACUAUAUGGGUGUCUGAAUCCACCUUUACAAUAUGCAGGAAUUUAGGUUUUAUUCUCUGGGUUUUUUUUUCCUUGUAUGUUAAUAAAAGGAAAAGUAUUGGUGAUAUUGAUCAAGGGGAUCUCAAGCCAAGCUACAACUUGAC
RNAcentral lists this long non-coding RNA (970 nucleotides) under Fukomys damarensis (Damara mole-rat). RNAcentral's name for it is "lncRNA (ENSFDAG00000025484.1)". Lineage: Eukaryota; Metazoa; Chordata; Mammalia; Rodentia; Bathyergidae. The record is from RNAcentral.